Non-coding RNA from Mus caroli (Ryukyu mouse), 300 nucleotides. Lineage: Eukaryota; Metazoa; Chordata; Mammalia; Rodentia; Muridae. The record is from RefSeq and is a predicted model, not a curated record.
GCGUAGGGAGGGCACGCGGGCUCCCCGCCCCCUUCCCCAGAGGGGCGGAACAGGGGCCUUAAGUGACGUUUGUCAUUGUGUUAGAGGUAACUAGGGACCGCGGGGAAGGGGCGGGCUCGAGCUGACGAACUGGAUAUGUCGACGCUGCAGCACUCCACAGACAGAAUUCAAGGCCAGCCUGGUGUGUGUGUAACAAGUUCCAGGCCAGCAAGAGCUACAUGAUGAGACCCUACCCAGUGAUUGUAAGAAUUCCAAAAUUCAGGAUAACAAUGCUGCUGGCCUCGAACUCAGAAAUCGGCC